AUACGUAGGGAGCGAGCGUUGUCCGGAUUUACUGGGUGUAAAGGGUGCGUAGGCGGAUAAUCAAGUCAGAUGUGAAAGUCCAUGGCUCAACUGUGGGAGUGCAUUUGAGACUGAAGAUCUAGAGUGCAGGAGAGGGAAGCGGAAUUCCUAGUGUAGCGGUGAAAUGCGUAGAUAUUAGGAAGAACACCAGUGGCGAAGGCGGCUUUCUGGACUGUAACUGACGCUGAAGCACGAAAGCGUGGGGAGCAAACAGGAUUAGAUACCCUGGUAGUCCACGCUGUAAACGAUGAGUAUUAGGUGUAGGGGACGAUAGUCUUCUGUGCCGGAGCAAACGCAAUAAAUACUCCGCCUGGGGAGUACGGUCACAAGACUAAA
This 375-nucleotide ribosomal RNA is filed under the name uncultured bacterium. RNAcentral describes it as "bacterial SSU rRNA". It matches the Rfam family "Bacterial small subunit ribosomal RNA", at positions 523 to 898 of the family's 1533-position model. The record is from RNAcentral.